CUCCCCGCAGCCCAAUUGGCAGAGGCACCGUACUCACGAUGCGGUGGUUGCGAGUUCGAAUCUCGCUGGGGGAACCG
RNAcentral lists this transfer RNA (77 nucleotides) under Nocardia panacis. RNAcentral's name for it is "Nocardia sp. YIM PH 21724 tRNA-Val". It matches the Rfam family "tRNA". Rfam says of the family: Transfer RNA (tRNA) molecules are approximately 80 nucleotides in length. Their secondary structure includes four short double-helical elements and three loops (D, anti-codon, and T loops). The record is from RNAcentral. Lineage: Bacteria; Bacillati; Actinomycetota; Actinomycetes; Mycobacteriales; Nocardiaceae.